Molecule: ribosomal RNA, 253 nt
Filed under: uncultured prokaryote
Description: partial 16S ribosomal RNA
Rfam family: Bacterial small subunit ribosomal RNA
Source: RNAcentral
ACGAAGGGGGCGAGCGUUGUUCGGAUUUACUGGGCGUAAAGCGUGUGUAGGCGGCUUCGCAAGUUGGAUGUGAAAUCCCACGGCUCAACCGUGGACGUGCAUCCAAAACUGCGUCGCUAGAGUCUCGGAGAGGAAGGUGGAAUGCUUGGUGUAGAGGUGAAAUUCGUAGAUAUCAAGCAGAACACCUGCGGCGAAGGCGGCCUUCUGGACGAUGACUGACGCUGAGACACGAAAGCGUGGGGAGCAAACAGGA